This 947-nucleotide ribosomal RNA is filed under the name Salmonella enterica subsp. enterica serovar Montevideo. RNAcentral describes it as "partial 23S ribosomal RNA". It matches the Rfam family "Bacterial large subunit ribosomal RNA", at positions 395 to 1241 of the family's 2925-position model. Lineage: Bacteria; Pseudomonadati; Pseudomonadota; Gammaproteobacteria; Enterobacterales; Enterobacteriaceae. The record is from RNAcentral.
UGCUGUGAGCUCGAUGAGUAGGGCGGGACACGUGGUAUCCUGUCUGAAUAUGGGGGGACCAUCCUCCAAGGCUAAAUACUCCUGACUGACCGAUAGUGAACCAGUACCGUGAGGGAAAGGCGAAAAGAACCCCGGCGAGGGGAGUGAAAAAGAACCUGAAACCGUGUACGUACAAGCAGUGGGAGCCCCACCACUAAGCCAGUGGUGAACUCCACAUACGCAUCCUUUGCUGAGGAUACGGUUAACGGAGCGAAAGCGACGUUCAACCGCAAAAGAAGCAGAGGGGGCUUAGUGGUGGGGUGACUGCGUACCUUUUGUAUAAUGGGUCAGCGACUUAUAUUCUGUAGCAAGGUUAACCGAAUAGGGGAGCCGGAGGGAAACCGAGUCUUAAUUGGGCGUUAAGUUGCAGGGUAUAGACCCGAAACCCGGUGAUCUAGCCAUGGGCAGGUUGAAGGUUGGGUAACACUAACUGGAGGACCGAACCGACUAAUGUUGAAAAAUUAGCGGAUGACCUGUGGCUGGGGGUGAAAGGCCAAUCAAACCGGGAGAUAGCUGGUUCUCCCCGAAAGCUAUUUAGGUAGCGCCUCGUGAAUUCAUCUCCGGGGGUAGAGCACUGUUUCGGCUAGGGGGCCAUCCCGGCUUACCAACCCGAUGCAAACUGCGAAUACCGGAGAAUGUUAUCACGGGAGACACACGGCGGGUGCUAACGUCCGUCGUGAAGAGGGAAACAACCCAGACCGCCAGCUAAGGUCCCAAAGUCAUGGUUAAGUGGGAAACGAUGUGGGAAGGCCCAGACAGCCAGGAUGUUGGCUUAGAAGCAGCCAUCAUUUAAAGAAAGCGUAAUAGCUCACUGGUCGAGUCGGCCUGCGCGGAAGAUGUAACGGGGCUAAACCAUGCACCGAAGCUGCGGCAGCGACACUCAGGUGUUGUUGGGUAGGGGAGCGUUC